AGCAGCGUGGCUCAGUGGAUAGAGCACGGGCUUUGGAGUCGUAGGUCAUGGGUUCGAAUCCCCGCUCUGCCA
Molecule: non-coding RNA, 72 nt
Organism: Ornithorhynchus anatinus (platypus)
Lineage: Eukaryota; Metazoa; Chordata; Mammalia; Monotremata; Ornithorhynchidae
Source: Rfam